ACUCCUGCGGGAGGCAGCAGUGGGGAAUAUUGCACAAUGGGCGCAAGCCUGAUGCAGCCAUGCCGCGUGUAUGAAGAAGGCCUUCGGGUUGUAAAGUACUUUCAGCGGGGAGGAAGGCGAUAAGGUUAAUAACCUUGUCGAUUGACGUUACCCGCAGAAGAAGCACCGGCUAACUCCGUGCCAGCAGCCGCGGUAAUACGGAGGGUGCAAGCGUUAAUCGGAAUUACUGGGCGUAAAGCGCACGCAGGCGGUCUGUCAAGUCGGAUGUGAAAUCCCCGGGCUCAACCUGGGAACUACAUUCGAAACUGGCAGGCUAGAGUCUUGUAGAGGGGGGUAGAAUUCCAGGUGUAGCGGUGAAAUGCGUAGAGAUCUGGAGGAAUACCGGUGGCGAAGGCGGCCCCCUGGACAAAGACUGACGCUCAGGUGCGAAAGCGUGGGGAGCAAACAGGAUUAGAAACCCUGGUAGUCCCAUGA
RNAcentral lists this ribosomal RNA (474 nucleotides) under uncultured organism. Its description in RNAcentral is "partial 16S ribosomal RNA". It matches the Rfam family "Bacterial small subunit ribosomal RNA", at positions 335 to 800 of the family's 1533-position model. The record is from RNAcentral.